This 318-nucleotide long non-coding RNA is filed under the name Nicotiana tabacum (common tobacco). RNAcentral's name for it is "long non-coding RNA (NTAB_LNC003284)". The record is from RNAcentral. Lineage: Eukaryota; Viridiplantae; Streptophyta; Magnoliopsida; Solanales; Solanaceae.
AUCAUACUUCACAGGUUCAGGUCAUCACUUAAAUAUUUCUGAGGUACUACCAGUUUCAUCUUUUGGAGAUUCAGUCACUCCAGCUCCACCACCUAUAGCUCCAGUUGUAGCUCCACCACCUACAGCUCCAGUUGUAGCUCCACCACCUAUAGCUCCAGUUCCUCCACAUAAUCCAGUUCAACCUUCUGCAGCUCCACCACUCUUGACUUAUCAUCGUCGUCCACAUCCAGCAUCAGGCCCAGGUGAUUCACGCCCCGCAUCAGAUUCUGCACCUACUGCGGACUUGUCUCCUCUUAGUCAACCAAUUGCACUCCGCAA